This 330-nucleotide ribosomal RNA is filed under the name uncultured eukaryote. Its description in RNAcentral is "partial 18S ribosomal RNA". It matches the Rfam family "Eukaryotic small subunit ribosomal RNA", at positions 1470 to 1796 of the family's 1831-position model. The record is from RNAcentral.
CCCUUAGAUGUUCGGGGCCGCACGCGCGCUACACUGAAGGAAUCAGCACGUCUUUCUCCUUGUCCGAAAGGACUGGGUAACCCGCUGAACCUCCUUCGUGCUAGGGAUUGGGGCUUGUAAUUCUUCCCCAUGAACGAGGAAUUCCCAGUAAGCGCGAGUCGUAAGCUCGCGUUGAUUACGUCCCUGCCCUUUGUACACACCGCCCGUCGCUACUACCGAUUGGAUGGUUUAGUGAGAUCCUCGGAUUGGUCCCGGAGCGGCCUCUGGUCGUGCCGGAGUGCCGAAAAGAAUGUCGAACUUGAUCAUCUAGAGGAAGUAAAAGUCGUAACA